This 914-nucleotide ribosomal RNA is filed under the name uncultured archaeon. RNAcentral's name for it is "bacterial SSU rRNA". It matches the Rfam family "Archaeal small subunit ribosomal RNA", at positions 1 to 922 of the family's 1478-position model. The record is from RNAcentral.
UUCCGGUUGAUCCUGCCGGACCCCACUGCUAUCGGGAUAGGACUAAGACAUGCUAGUCACGCCAGCCAAAGCAAGCGUACAGCUCAGUAACACGUGGCUAACCUGCCCUUGGGACAAGGACACCCCCGGGAAACUGGGGCUAAUCCUUGAUAGGUGAAGAAUUCUGGAAUGAAUCUUCGCCCAAAGAACUUACCGCCCAAGGAUGGGGCCGCGACCGAUCAGGUAGUUGGUGAGGCAACGGCUCACCAAGCCUUUUACCGGUACGGGCCGUGGGAGCGGGUGCCCGGAGAUGGGAACUGAGACAAGGUCCCAGGCCCUACGGGGCGCAGCCGUUGCGAAACCUCGUCAAUGCACGAAAGUGUGAACGGGCUACCCCGAGUGCUGUCCGCUGAGGAUGGCUUUUCUCUGCUGUAAGGAGGCGGAGGAAUAAGGAGAGGGCAAGUUCUGGUGUCAGCCGCCGCGGUAAUACCAGCCCUCCGAGUGGUGGGGAUGUUUAUUGGGCCUAAAGCGUCCGUAGCCUGCCCUUCAAGUCUUUCGUUAAAUCCAGCGAUUCAAUCGUUGGACUGCGGGAGAUACUGUUGGGCUAGGGGGCGGGAGAAGCCGACGGUAUUUCCGGGGUAGGGGUAAAAUCCUAUAAUCCCGGGAGGACCACCAGUGGCGUAGGCGGUCGGCUAGCACGUGCUCGACGGUGAGGGACGAAAGCUGGGGGAGCAAACCGGAUUAGAUACCCGGAUAGUCCCAGCUGUAAACGAUGCGGGCUAGGUGUUGGGGUGGCCACGAGCCACUUCAGUGCCGCAGGGGAGCCAUUAAGCCCGCCGCCUGGGGAGUACGGCCGCAAGGCUGAAACUUAAAGGAAUUGGCGGGGGAGCACCACAAGGGGUGAAGCUUGCGGUUCAAUUGGAUUCAACGCCGGA